UCCCGCAUUGGUAUGCCCAAAUGACUGGGACGCGUUGUCCCGUGGAAUGAGUUUUAGCCAUUUUUUCGUUCCACCUUCUCUCUGGAACACAAAAUUAUAAAUUUUUUCGACAAUAAUACCCCUCAAUUUUUCAUUAAUUCCACUCUCUACCCUCCCUCUCUCUCCCCCGUAGCCUCCCUCUCUUUGAACCCAAUCCCAGCUUCCUUCCGCCACCUCCCUCAUCCCUGGUUAAUGCCACGGUCUCUAGAACGCUGCCAUGGAAGGUUGCUUGAUGAGAUGCUCUCACGGUGGCGCUCUCUUGAAAGCCCUCAAACCUCUCGUUGCGUUCUUAUUCUUCACUUGUCUGCAGGUGAGGCUCAGUGGGGAGCAAUGGCUAACAGGAAUCUGGAGAAGUUGGCGUCCAUUGACGCACAGCUUCAGCUUUUGGUUUCAGCUGUAAAAUUUGGUUUCGAUCGGUUUGAGACGUUCAUCUUGAUUUCGAUUGGUACCCAUGAUGCAAAAACACUUGAAUUUGUGAUUGGAAUAUGCGGCAUUUUUAUUCUAUUGCUAAAAGUAUGGAACUUUAUGUGUGAAUUUGAAACUCCUUAUCAAUUUUGUUUGAACCCUUUUGAUUUUGGUGGAUUCGUGGACCCUUUUGAUAUUUUUGGGAUUUGAUUUUCCUUAUGAAGGUUUAUAACUUUGGAGGGUUUGCAGAAGUUGAUUGGGUUCUGGGUUGGGUGUUUUGCGUUCUUCCUCUCUGUUAAGGGAGGCUGGAUUUGUGAGUUUUCUGGGAUGCCAAUUAGUUUUGAUCAAAUUGAAUAAUUUAUGGAUUA
Molecule: long non-coding RNA, 812 nt
Organism: Pyrus x bretschneideri (Chinese white pear)
Lineage: Eukaryota; Viridiplantae; Streptophyta; Magnoliopsida; Rosales; Rosaceae
Exons: 2
Source: RefSeq, a predicted model, not a curated record